GAAAUUCUAGUACCAUGAUAUAGCAUGAUUUCAUGAAUGAUAUGUUGUUGAUGAACUUUGGUGUAUCAAUAUCUUGUUAUCUCUAGAUGAUUUGAAAUAUUGAAAUUUGCAUAAUUUUGGUUGAUGAUCAACAUGAUUUCUAGUUUAAGUUUCUUGUUGAAAACCAUAUUAAGUCGUUGGACAGAAUAGUAAGAUAAUCGAUU
This 203-nucleotide long non-coding RNA is filed under the name Nicotiana benthamiana. Its description in RNAcentral is "long non-coding RNA (NBEN_LNC003327)". The record is from RNAcentral. Lineage: Eukaryota; Viridiplantae; Streptophyta; Magnoliopsida; Solanales; Solanaceae.